RNAcentral lists this ribosomal RNA (612 nucleotides) under Streptococcus mutans. RNAcentral describes it as "bacterial SSU rRNA". It matches the Rfam family "Bacterial small subunit ribosomal RNA", at positions 368 to 971 of the family's 1533-position model. Lineage: Bacteria; Bacillati; Bacillota; Bacilli; Lactobacillales; Streptococcaceae. The record is from RNAcentral.
GCAAUGGACGAAAGUCUGACCGAGCAACGCCGCGUGAGUGAAGAAGGUUUUCGGAUCGUAAAGCUCUGUUGUAAGUCAAGAACGUGUGUGAGAGUGGAAAGUUCACACAGUGACGGUAGCUUACCAGAAAGGGACGGCUAACUACGUGCCAGCAGCCGCGGUAAUACGUAGGUCCCGAGCGUUGUCCGGAUUUAUUGGGCGUAAAGGGAGCGCAGGCGGUCAGGAAAGUCUGGAGUAAAAGGCUAUGGCUCAACCAUAGUGUGCUCUGGAAACUGUCUGACUUGAGUGCAGAAGGGGAGAGUGGAAUUCCAUGUGUAGCGGUGAAAUGCGUAGAUAUAUGGAGGGACACCAGUGGCGAAAGCGGCUCUCUGGUCUGUCACUGACGCUGAGGCUCGAAAGCGUGGGUAGCGAACAGGAUUAGAUACCCUGGUAGUCCACGCCGUAAACGAUGAGUGCUAGGUGUUAGGCCCUUUCCGGGGCUUAGUGCCGGAGCUAACGCAAUAAGCACUCCGCCUGGGGAGUACGACCGCAAGGUUGAAACUCAAAGGAAUUGACGGGGGCCCGCACAAGCGGUGGAGCAUGUGGUUUAAUUCGAAGCAACGCGAAGAACCU